GCCAGGUGCCACGGCGGGAGUCCAUAGUCCCGGCUACUCGGGAGACUGAGGCUGGAGGAUCGCUUGAGGCCAGGAGUCCUGGAGUCCUGGGCUGUCCUGUGCCAUGCUGACUGGGUGUCCACACUAAGUUCAGCAUCAAGGUGGUGGCCUCCUGGGAACAGGGGACCGCCAGGUUGCCUAAGGAGGGGCGAACCGGCCCAGGUCGGAAAUGGAGCAGGUCAAAACCACCAUAGUGAUCGCAUACAUCAGUGAGAGUAGUGAAUGCCACUUGCAGGCCCCCUCCCCUAACACAGUCCCCC
Molecule: unclassified non-coding RNA, 299 nt
Organism: Oryctolagus cuniculus (rabbit)
Lineage: Eukaryota; Metazoa; Chordata; Mammalia; Lagomorpha; Leporidae
Rfam family: Metazoan signal recognition particle RNA
About the family: The signal recognition particle (SRP) is a universally conserved ribonucleoprotein.
Source: Ensembl